CCUGGUUGAUCCUGCUAGUAGUGUUAUGCUUGUUUCAAAGAUUAAGCCAUACAUGUGUAAGUAUGAACUAAUUUAGACUUUGAAACUACAAAUGACCCAUUAAAUUAGUUAUAGUUUGUUUGAUGAUAUCUAAUACUCAGAUAACCAUAGUAAUUCUAAAGCUAAUACAUGCAACAAACCUUAACUUCUAGAGUGGAUGCAUUUAUUAGAUAAAAGGUUAACCAGGUUUUGCCCAUUCCUUUGAUGAUUCAUGAUAAGUCAACGGAUCAUACAACCUUUUGUACUGGUGAUGCAUUAUUCAAAUUUCUGCCCUAUCAACUUUUGAUGGUAGAAUAGUGGCCUACAAAGGUGGUGAUGGUUGAUAGAGUAUUAGGGUUUGAUUCUAGAGAGGGAGCCUGAGAAAUGGCUACCACAUCUAAGGAAGGUAGCAAGCGUGGAAAUUAUCCAAUACUAAUAAGGGGAGUUAGUGACAAUAAAUAACAAUACUAAGCUCUAUGAGUCUAGUAAUUGGAAUGAGUACAAUCUAAAUCCCUAGCAAUUGUGAUAAUUCUACCUUCAAUAGUAUAUAUUUAAGUUGUUAUAGUUAAAAAGCUUAUAGUUGAAACUAGGGUUGGGUCAUUUGGUCUGCCUCAUAGUAAACACUGGUAUACUCAUCCUUACUGCUGAUGAUGCAUUCCUAGCCUUAACUAGUUGGGUUAUUCCUUUGGUGCUAUUUCUUUGAAGAAAUUAGAGUGCUCAAAACAGGCUUAUGCUUGUAUACAUUAGCAUGCGAUAACAUCAUAAGAUUUCGAUCCUAUUGUGUUGGCCUUCGAGAUCAGAGUAAUGAUUAACAAAAACAGUCUAGGGCAUUCAUAUUUCUUAGUCAGAGGUGAAAUUCUUGGAUUUAUGAAUAGUGAAAAACUAUGAAAGCAUUUGCCAAUGAUGUUUUCAUUAAUUAAGAACAAAAGUUGGGUGCUAAAAAACGUAUAGAUACCAUCCUAGUAUCAACCAUAAAUGAUGCCAACCAAGGAUCGACAUAUGUUACUUUUAAGAUUUCAUCGGCAUCUUAUGAGAAAUCAUAGUCUUUGGUUUUAAGGGGGAGUAUGGUCGCAAGGUUAAAACUUAAAGAAAUUGAUGGAAGAGCACCACUAAGAGUAGAGCUUGCAACUUAAUUUGACUCAACAUGAGCAAACAUACUAGGUCCAAACAAAGUAAGGAUUGAUAGAUUGAGAGCUCUUUCUUGAUUCUAUGGGUGGUGGUGCAUGGCUAUUCUUAGUUGGUUGAGCAAUUUGUCUAGUUAAUUCCAUUAAUGAAUAAGACCUCAGCUUGCUAACUAGCUAUGCAGGGAUGAUUCUUCAUGGCUAGCUUUUUAGAGGGACUAUGGCUAUUUAGGCCAAGGAAGUUAGAGGCGACAAUAGGUUUGUGAUGCCCUUAGAUGUUCUGGCUGCACAUGUGCUACACUGAUGUAUUCAAUAAGUCUAUAGCCUUGGCUGACAGACGGGGGUAAUUUUUGAAAUUUCAUCAUUAUGAGGAUAGAUCAUUGCAAUUGUUGGUCUUCAACAAUGAAUUCCUAGUAAGUGCGAGUCAUCAGCUCAUGUUGACCAUAUCCUUGCCUUUGGUACACACCUCCCAUUACUCUUACCGAUUGAAUGGUCCAAUGAAGUGUUCAGAUCAUGAUGAUGUGGAUUGUUCGUAGCCUAUGAUGUCAUGAGAAGUCCACUAAACCUUAUCAUUUAGAGGAAAGAGAACUCAUAAUAAGGUUUCUAUAGGUGAACCUACGAAAA
RNAcentral lists this ribosomal RNA (1763 nucleotides) under Durio zibethinus. Its description in RNAcentral is "SSU rRNA". It matches the Rfam family "Eukaryotic small subunit ribosomal RNA". Lineage: Eukaryota; Viridiplantae; Streptophyta; Magnoliopsida; Malvales; Malvaceae. The record is from RNAcentral.